Molecule: long non-coding RNA, 1131 nt
Filed under: Gallus gallus (chicken)
Lineage: Eukaryota; Metazoa; Chordata; Aves; Galliformes; Phasianidae
Source: RNAcentral
CAAUUUUUUCCAUGAGCAGCAGAAGUUUUUUCAUAGAGAUUUAUGUCUGAUGUUCCCCCCAAAUGAAUUUAACAUCCACAUACUCUUUAAGCAACCAGCAAAGCAAUCCAAUCUCCCUCUUUCUGUUCUCAGUGACACUCCACCUAAUCACCCUCAUGCUCAGACAGUCUCAGCUCCUUCCCGUAUCCAUUGCAAGCUUACUGUGAUAGUCUAAUUUUCCUCAUUUUUAAUACCACUGCCUCCUUCAUGUCCCCCUGCUCUGGCCAGCAGGACCUAAGUUGGGCAGGCUGCAGAUAGGCCAGGGAUCAGCCUGCUCCAGCUCUUCCCUCAAGUAUGCCUCUCUCUGGUCACUUCUCCUCAAGAAAUCUGUGGGCAGUUGAUAGAUUUUAGAUUUCUACCCUUGCAUCAAAUAUGGUUGAAAAUAGCCAAAAGGUUUGAAUGUUAGUUCAGCACAAAUUGUCAGAUAAAUAGAUUAAAGGUGAGAAUGAAGGAACUCCGGAAGCCUGGUAACCUCUGAAGGGGUCUGCAUUUCCAAACUUUCUAUUGCCCUUUUAUGACCAUGGGUCUUUAGUUACUGGCAACGCAGCACUAAUCAGAUUUUCAAAAGUAUUUUUAUACCUUUGCAUGGAAGACAUUGGCAGAUUAAAAAAGCCUAAAUACAUAACUCCCACUGAAAUAAUGUAUUUGCAAAGCUUUGUAGGCAGGGCUGAGCUUACAUUCAAAGAAUCCCAACAAUUGUGUUCCCAGCUCAUUACUGACAAAAAGUAUGAGCAGAAGCCAGUAAACAUCACAAACCUCUAAACUAAACAGGUAUUGUGAUGGAGGGAAAGGAGCCUGAAUCUGAUGCAGUCCAGCUGCCAACAUAAAUACUCUAAUAAUCAAUCAGAAUCUUGAGUAUUCCAGCAAUGAAUAUCAGAAUAUUUCAGGGUGACGAAUGAAGAAUACUUCACACACAAUGAGCUAGAGACAACUCUGUGCCAUUUCAGAAAUACAAUUGUUAGUGGAUGUAAUAUCACAAACCACUCAACUAUGUUCUAUUUUAAAGGAAGAACAUUAAACUGCAUGAAGUGGGUUCUGAAUUUAUCUCCAAGGGCAGCUGAAUGACAACAUCUGCUCAAGGUGCAACAACAA